CCGACAGUCCUGAAGACUGAUGUUCUUUAUUAAUCCACAGGACAGAUGGAGCAUAGGAAUCAGCAAUGCAAGUUUCCCCAUACUGUUCUUCCAAAAUACCUCAAUAAAUGUCCUACAACAUAGUUAGUACUUGACCUCUAUGCAGAGACUGCCAAAAAUAGAGCCAAUUACUGUCAAUUAUGUUGGUUGU
This 190-nucleotide small RNA is filed under the name Chelonoidis abingdonii (Abingdon island giant tortoise). RNAcentral's name for it is "TUC338 (ENSCABG00000009588.1)". The record is from RNAcentral. Lineage: Eukaryota; Metazoa; Chordata; Testudines; Testudinidae.